UUAUGCUGCUACAUAAAUUAUAUUUAUUACAUCAUUUUUCAAGACUGAUUUCACUUCUCCUUUACUCAAUUAUCAAUUUUUUAAAAAAUAUUUUAGAACCAGAUGCUCCGCAGGGUACAGCUUUAUACGACCGCAGAGGUUGAACCCUAAACGGUUGGGGCAAGUAUGGGCACAACAUUCAAGCUGGAUUCAGCUCUAAAUUUGGAUUGUGAUUAAAUAGUUGACACAGCAUAGGUUUCUGACACAGAAUGAAUGUGGUCUAAUGAACUUAAAAUAUUUUUUUUGCCUUUGAGCAAUUCACUAUGUUGUUAAAUAUUAAUCCUCUCAAAAAAAAUGUUUGAAGAAAUUUUCUUUUUAUUUAUGAAAUCUGAAAUGAGAAAAAUUUACCCCCCCCCCCCCCCAUUUUUUUUUACAUCCUUUCCCUUUUUCCAAAAAUGAUCUCAAUUCAAAUUUCUAAUGGAGUUUGCAAC
This 470-nucleotide long non-coding RNA is filed under the name Mytilus galloprovincialis (Mediterranean mussel). Lineage: Eukaryota; Metazoa; Mollusca; Bivalvia; Mytilida; Mytilidae. The record is from RNAcentral.